Molecule: ribosomal RNA, 1343 nt
Filed under: uncultured bacterium
Lineage: Bacteria
Description: 16S ribosomal RNA
Rfam family: Bacterial small subunit ribosomal RNA
Source: RNAcentral
GACGAACGCUGGCGGCGUGCUUAACACAUGCAAGUCGAACGGAAAGGCCCUGCUUUUGUGGGGUGCUCGAGUGGCGAACGGGUGAGCAACACGUGAGUAACCUGCCCUUGACUUUGGGAUAACUUCAGGAAACUGGGGCUAAUACAGGAUAGGAGCUCCUGCUGCAUGGUGGGGGUUGGAAAGUUUCGGCGGUUGGGGAUGGACUCGCGGCUUAUCAGCUUGUUGGUGGGGUAGUGGCUUACCAAGGCUUUGACGGGUAGCCGGCCUGAGAGGGUGACCGGCCACAUUGGGACUGAGAUACGGCCCAGACUCCUACGGGAGGCAGCAGUGGGGAAUAUUGCACAAUGGGCGGAAGCCUGAUGCAGCAACGCCGCGUGCGGGAUGACGGCCUUCGGGUUGUAAACCGCUUUCGCCUGUGACGAAGCGUGAGUGACGGUAAUGGGUAAAGAAGCACCGGCUAACUACGUGCCAGCAGCCGCGGUGAUACGUAGGGUGCGAGCGUUGUCCGGAUUUAUUGGGCGUAAAGGGCUCGUAGGUGGUUGAUCGCGUCGGAAGUGUAAUCUUGGGGCUUAACCCUGAGCGUGCUUUCGAUACGGGUUGACUUGAGGAAGGUAGGGGAGAAUGGAAUUCCUGGUGGAGCGGUGGAAUGCGCAGAUAUCAGGAGGAACACCAGUGGCGAAGGCGGUUCUCUGGGCCUUUCCUGACGCUGAGGGGCGAAAGCGUGGGGAGCGAACAGGCUUAGAUACCCUGGUAGUCCACGCUGUAAACGGUGGGUACUAGGUGUGGGGUCCAUUCCACGGGCUCCGUGCCGUAGCUAACGCUUUAAGUACCCCGCCUGGGGAGUACGGCCGCAAGGCUAAAACUCAAAGGAAUUGACGGGGCCCCGCACAAGCGGCGGAGCAUGCGGAUUAAUUCGAUGCAACGCGUAGAACCUUACCUGGGUUUGACAUGGAUCGGGAGUGCUCAGAGAUGGGUGUGCCUCUUUUGGGGUCGGUUCACAGGUGGUGCAUGGCUGUCGUCAGCUCGUGUCGUGAGAUGUUGGGUUAAGUCCCGCAACGAGCGCAACCCUUGUUCACUGUUGCCAGCACGUUAUGGUGGGGACUCAGUGGAGACCCCCGGGGUCAACUCGGAGGAAGGUGGGGAUGACGUCAAGUCAUCAUGCCCCUUAUGUCCAGGGCUUCACGCAUGCUACAAUGGCUGGUACAGAGAGUGGCGAGCCUGUGAGGGUGAGCGAAUCUCGGAAAGCCGGUCUCAGUUCGGAUUGGGGUCUGCAACUCGACCUCGUGAAGUCGGAGUCGCUAGUAAUCGCAGAUCAGCAACGCUGCGGUGAAUACGUUCCCGGG